This 460-nucleotide ribosomal RNA is filed under the name uncultured bacterium. Its description in RNAcentral is "partial 16S ribosomal RNA". It matches the Rfam family "Bacterial small subunit ribosomal RNA", at positions 338 to 795 of the family's 1533-position model. The record is from RNAcentral.
CCUACGGGAGGCAGCAGUGAGGAAUAUUGGUCAAUGGACGAGAGUCUGAACCAGCCAAGUAGCGUGAAGGAUGACUGCCCUAUGGGUUGUAAACUUCUUUUAUAUGGGAAUAAAAUGUUCCACGUGUGGGAUUUUGUAUGUACCUUAUGAAUAAGGAUCGGCUAACUCCGUGCCAGCAGCCGCGGUAAUACGGAGGAUCCGAGCGUUAUCCGGAUUUAUUGGGUUUAAAGGGAGCGUAGGUGGAUUGUUAAGUCAGUUGUGAAAGUUUGCGGCUCAACCGUAAAAUUGCAGUUGAAACUGGCAGUCUGGAGUACAGUGGAGGUGGGCGGAAUUCGUGGUGUAGCGGUGAAAUGCUUAGAUAUCACGAAGAACUCCGAUUGCGAAGGCAGCUCACUGGACUGCAACUGACACUGAGGCUCGAAAGUGUGGGUAUCAAACAGGAUUAGAUACCCGAGUAGUC